This is a long non-coding RNA of Cryptomeria japonica (Japanese cedar), 380 nucleotides long. RefSeq lists it as uncharacterized. The transcript is spliced from 3 exons. Lineage: Eukaryota; Viridiplantae; Streptophyta; Pinopsida; Cupressales; Cupressaceae. The record is from RefSeq and is a predicted model, not a curated record.
GGCACAUUUGGAAGUUGCAUGGAAAUCUGGAUGCUCUUUUAGAUUUUUGAUUGCUAGAGCUACAAUUUAGCUUUUGGAACCAUUCAAGCAUAGAAUUUGCAACAUUGUUUGCCGCAGUCAUGCACCCAGUCAUCUUCAAUGCAAAAGACAUAUGGAAUCUCAGGAUACAUACGUUCUAAGAUAGAAAAAUGGAUGUGCACUCUAGGCUCGUGAGAAAGUACAAAGCAAUACCAAAGUGGUGGUUUUUCAUGAUUCUUGCCUUGACUUUAACAGUAACCAUUAUAUUCUGUGAUUCGUUUAAGGAUCAACGUCAAUUGCAGUGGUGGGGAGUGCUCCUUUCAUGUGGCCUUGCCAUAUUCUUCGCUCUACCAAAUGGCAUU